RNAcentral lists this ribosomal RNA (825 nucleotides) under Triticum aestivum (bread wheat). Its description in RNAcentral is "partial small subunit ribosomal RNA". Lineage: Eukaryota; Viridiplantae; Streptophyta; Magnoliopsida; Poales; Poaceae. The record is from RNAcentral.
AUGGCCUUACGCGCCCUACAGCUCAGCCAGCCCGGGGUGGCGGCCGCGCGGAGCCGGGUGAUGCCGACGAGGAGCUUGUCGGCAAGGGUGCCGACGGGGGAGAAGAUCGAGGAGAGGGAUCGGAUGGGGAAGCGGAACGGGUUGGAGAGCAUGUGGAACAGCGUACAGCGACCCGCCCUCGCCGGCGCCGAUGUAUACGAGCGUGCCGGGGAAGAACGGCUGGAGGCGCAGCGCCUGGAAGUCGAGGAGGCGCUGGCACUCCGGGUACGCCGUGAGGAAGAUCUGGAAGCCCCGGUCGAGCAGGUACCCGUCGACCUCGUCGGUGGCUACGCGGCCGCCGAGGCGGUCCGAGGCCUCCAGCAGCGUGAACGGCAUGAAGAGGGAGGCCAGGUGGGUGGCCGCCGCGAGGCCCGCGAGCCCGCCGCCGACGAUGACGGCCUGCUUGUCGGCCUGGUUCACGUUCACCGAUGUCGCCGCGGCGGAGACGGCGAACCGGAGGGUGGCAUGGCGGCGGGGGGUGGGAUGCGCGGGGACGAGGAGGUGGGCGGCGUGGACACGCAUUGGGGUUGCGGGUGCGGCGAGUGGCGGGAAGAGACCGGGCAGAAACGGGGAAUCGUGACGGGGUACGGUUUGGGAGGUGUAGGCGGUUGUCCAUGGAGUUGUGCUGAUGUUCUGCAUGCGGCUAGUGAUCCCUGGAAGGAAGUGUUGGACAAUGUUUGGGAGUUCGGCCCAGUUCUUUUGGGCAAUUCUUCCAUAAUCUUGAAAAUUCACCUUUCACCCAGCUUCUUCCAGAAUUUUGUAUCCAUAUUUUUUGUACAAUCCUAG